AUGGCAGCUCCGAGAGCACUCGUCCUCGGCGUCCUGCUGCUGAUCGCCGUCUCCAACACCGAGGCGGCGUCCGUCGUCGUCGGCAUGGCCAAGUGCGCCGACUGCACCAGGAAGAACAUGAAGGCCGAGGAAGCCUUCAAGGACUACGGCCCGGUACCCAAGCCUGAGCCGAAGCCGCAGCCCCACCCGGACUACCACCCCAUCCCUCCCACGCCCACCUACGGCGGCGGCGGCGGUGGCGAUGUUGGCUUCUUCUGGCUUGAUCUCGUUCUGCUUUGUUUAAAACAAUCAUUACUCUUAGCUACUAUUCAGAUCUGUGAAUUGAAACUCAAGUGCGAUUCAGGCAAGUGUGCAAAUGGAUCUGUCAUGGACAACCCAUGGCAUUCAUGUCAAAAACAAAAUUGCAGCUACCAGGGAUCAUGCAUUCAUAUAUACUGCCCGUUCCAUUUGGACUUCUUUCAGCCUAAGCAGGAGGGGAACUGGGCCAUGGUCCAGUCCAGCUCAAGUACAUAA
Molecule: ribosomal RNA, 513 nt
Filed under: Triticum aestivum (bread wheat)
Lineage: Eukaryota; Viridiplantae; Streptophyta; Magnoliopsida; Poales; Poaceae
Description: partial small subunit ribosomal RNA
Source: RNAcentral